UGCCAGCCGCCGCGGUAACACGGGGGGCGCAAGCGUUAUUCGGAAUUAUUGGGCGUAAAGGGCGCGUAGGCGGUCUUAUCGGUCAGAUGUGAAAGCCCGGGGCUCAACCCCGGACGUGCACUGGAUACUGGUAGUCUUGAGUAUGGGAGAGGAAAGUGGAAUUCCGAGUGUAGGAGUGAAAUCCGUAGAUAUUCGGAGGAAUACCGGUGGCGAAGGCGACCACCUGGCCAGAUACUGACGCUGAGGUGCGAAAGCGUGGGGAGCAAACAGGAUUAGAUA
Molecule: ribosomal RNA, 279 nt
Filed under: uncultured bacterium
Lineage: Bacteria
Description: partial 16S ribosomal RNA
Rfam family: Bacterial small subunit ribosomal RNA
Source: RNAcentral